RNAcentral lists this ribosomal RNA (301 nucleotides) under uncultured bacterium. Its description in RNAcentral is "partial 16S ribosomal RNA". It matches the Rfam family "Bacterial small subunit ribosomal RNA", at positions 509 to 807 of the family's 1533-position model. The record is from RNAcentral.
CAGCCGCCACGGGAAUACGAAGGGGGCUAGCGUUGCUCGGAAUCACUGGGCGUAAAGGGUGCGUAGGCGGGUCUUUAAGUCAGGGGUGAAAUCCUGGAGCUCAACUCCAGAACUGCCUUUGAUACUGAAGAUCUCGAGUUCGGGAGAGGUGAGUGGAACUGCGAGUGUAGAGGUGAAAUUCGUAGAUAUUCGCAAGAACACCAGUGGCGAAGGCGGCUCACUGGCCCGAUACUGACGCUGAGGCACGAAAGCGUGGGGAGCAAACAGGAUUAGAUACCCCAGUAGUCCCUGUCUCUUAUAC